This 441-nucleotide ribosomal RNA is filed under the name uncultured bacterium. RNAcentral describes it as "partial 16S ribosomal RNA". It matches the Rfam family "Bacterial small subunit ribosomal RNA", at positions 338 to 795 of the family's 1533-position model. The record is from RNAcentral.
CCUACGGGGGGCAGCAGUCGGGAAUAUUGCGCAAUGGAGGAAACUCUGACGCAGUGACGCCGCGUAUAGGAAGAAGGUUUUCGGAUUGUAAACUAUUGUCGUUAGGGAAGAUAAAAGACUGUACCUAUGGAGGAAGCCCCGGCUAACUAUGUGCCAGCAGCCGCGGUAAUACAUAGGGGGCAAGCGUUAUCCGGAAUUAUUGGGUGGAAAGGGUGCGUAGACGGAAGAACAAGUUGGUUUUGAAAUCCCUCGGCUUAACUGAGGAACUGCAACUAAAACUAUUUUUCUUGAGUGCAGGAGAGGUAAGUGGAAUUCCUAGUGUAGCGGUGAAAUGCGUAGAUAUUAGGAGGAACACCAGUGGCGAAGGCGACUUACUGGACUGUAACUGACGUUGAGGCACGAAAGUGUGGGGAGCAAACAGGAUUAGAUACCCGUGUAGUC